GACGAACGCUGGCGGCGUGCUUAACACAUGCAAGUCGAACGGUGAAGGGACCAGCUUGCUGGUUCUGGAUGAGUGGCGAACGGGUGAGUAACACGUGAGUAACCUGCCCCCUUCUUCUGGAUAACCGCAUGAAAGUGUGGCUAAUACGGGAUAUUCUGGGUCUGUCGCAUGGCGGGCCCGGGAAAGAUAUUGCUUCGGUUGGGGAUGGGCUCGCGGCCUAUCAGCUUGUUGGUGGGGUGAUGGCCUACCAAGGCGGUGACGGGUAGCCGGCCUGAGAGGGUGGACGGUCACACUGGGACUGAGACACGGCCCAGACUCCUACGGGAGGCAGCAGUGGGGAAUAUUGCACAAUGGGCGCAAGCCUGAUGCAGCGACGCCGCGUGAGGGAUGGAGGCCUUCGGGUUGUAAACCUCUUUCGCCAGUGAAGCAGGCCUGCUCCUUGUGGGUGGGUUGACGGUAGCUGGAUAAGAAGCGCCGGCUAACUACGUG
RNAcentral lists this ribosomal RNA (489 nucleotides) under uncultured bacterium. RNAcentral describes it as "partial 16S ribosomal RNA". It matches the Rfam family "Bacterial small subunit ribosomal RNA", at positions 28 to 507 of the family's 1533-position model. The record is from RNAcentral.